RNAcentral lists this transfer RNA (75 nucleotides) under Verrucomicrobiota bacterium. RNAcentral describes it as "Verrucomicrobia bacterium tRNA-Val". It matches the Rfam family "tRNA". Rfam says of the family: Transfer RNA (tRNA) molecules are approximately 80 nucleotides in length. Their secondary structure includes four short double-helical elements and three loops (D, anti-codon, and T loops). Further hydrogen bonds mediate the characteristic L-shaped molecular structure. tRNAs have two regions of fundamental functional importance: the anti-codon, which is responsible for specific mRNA codon recognition, and the 3' end, to which the tRNAs corresponding amino acid is attached (by aminoacyl-tRNA synthetases). tRNAs cope with the degeneracy of the genetic code in two manners: having more than one tRNA (with a specific anti-codon) for a particular amino acid; and 'wobble' base-pairing, i.e. permitting non-standard base-pairing at the 3rd anti-codon position. Lineage: Bacteria; Pseudomonadati; Verrucomicrobiota. The record is from RNAcentral.
GCGCGGUUAGCUCAGUGGUAGAGCACUACCUUGACACGGUAGGGGUCACUGGUUCGAACCCAGUAUCGCGCACGA